This 605-nucleotide ribosomal RNA is filed under the name uncultured bacterium. RNAcentral's name for it is "bacterial SSU rRNA". It matches the Rfam family "Bacterial small subunit ribosomal RNA", at positions 135 to 740 of the family's 1533-position model. The record is from RNAcentral.
ACUGGGGGAUAACACUUAGAAAUAGGUGCUAAUACCGCAUAAGCGCACAGCUUCGCAUGAAGCAGUGUGAAAAACUCCGGUGGUAUACGAUGGAUCCGCGUCUGAUUAGCUGGUUGGCGGGGUAACAGCCCACCAAGGCGACGAUCAGUAGCCGGCCUGAGAGGGUGAACGGCCACAUUGGGACUGAGACACGGCCCAAACUCCUACGGGAGGCAGCAGUGGGGAAUAUUGCACAAUGGGGGAAACCCUGAUGCAGCGACGCCGCGUGAGUGAAGAAGUAUUUCGGUAUGUAAAGCUCUAUCAGCAGGGAAGAAAUACUGACCUUACGGUCAGCAGACGGUACCUGACUAAGAAGCCCCGGCUAACUACGUGCCAGCAGCCGCGGUAAUACGUAGGGGGCAAGCGUUAUCCGGAUUUACUGGGUGUAAAGGGAGCGUACACGGCAGCGCAAGUCUGAAGUGAAAUCCCAUGGCUUAACCAUGGAACUGCUUUGGAAACUGUGCAGCUGGAGUGCAGGAGAGGUAAGCGGAAUUCCUAGUGUAGCGGUGAAAUGCGUANAUAUUAGGAGAAACACCAGUGGCGAAGGCGGCUUGCUGGACUGUAAC